AACAUACCUAAACGUUGCUUCGGCGGGAAUAGACGGCCCCGUGAAACGGGCCGCCCCCGCCAGAGGACCCCUAACUCUGUUUCUAUAAUGUUUCUUCUGAGUAAAACAAGCAAAUAAAUUAAAACUUUCAACAACGGAUCUCUUGGCUCUGGCAUCGAUGAAGAACGCAGCGAAAUGCGAUAAGUAAUGUGAAUUGCAGAAUUCAGUGAAUCAUCGAAUCUUUGAACGCACAUUGCGCCCGCCAGUAUUCUGGCGGGCAUGCCUGUUCGAGCGUCAUUACAACCCUCAGGCCCCCGGGCCUGGCGUUGGGGAUCGGCGGCGGUCCCGCCGCAGCUUCCAUCGCGUAGUAGCUAACACCUCGCGACUGGAGAGCGGCGCGGCCACGCCGUAAAACACCCAACUCUUCUGAA
This 410-nucleotide unclassified non-coding RNA is filed under the name Fusarium solani. Its description in RNAcentral is "sequence contains 18S rRNA gene, ITS1, 5.8S rRNA gene, ITS2". The stretch from base 123 to 276 matches the Rfam family "5.8S ribosomal RNA". Lineage: Eukaryota; Fungi; Ascomycota; Sordariomycetes; Hypocreales; Nectriaceae. The record is from RNAcentral.